AUUGAACGCUGGCGGCAUGCCUUACACAUGCAAGUCGAACGGUAACAGGUCUUCGGAUGCUGACGAGUGGCGAACGGGUGAGUAAUACAUCGGAACGUGCCCGAUCGUGGGGGAUAACGAAGCGAAAGCUUUGCUAAUACCGCAUACGAUCUACGGAUGAAAGCAGGGGACCGCAAGGCCUUGCGCGAACGGAGCGGCCGAUGGCAGAUUAGGUAGUUGGUGGGAUAAAAGCUUACCAAGCCGACGAUCUGUAGCUGGUCUGAGAGGACGACCAGCCACACUGGGACUGAGCCACGGACCAGACUCCUACGGGAGGCAGCAGUGGGGAAUUUUGGACAAUGGGCGAAAGCCUGAUCCAGUCAUGCCGCGUGCAGGAUGAAGGCCUUCGGGUUGUAAACUGCUUUUGUACGGAACGAAAAGACUCUGGUUAAUACCUGGGGUCCAUGACGGUACCGUAAGAAUAAGCACCGGCUAACUACGUG
This 482-nucleotide ribosomal RNA is filed under the name uncultured bacterium. RNAcentral describes it as "partial 16S ribosomal RNA". It matches the Rfam family "Bacterial small subunit ribosomal RNA", at positions 30 to 507 of the family's 1533-position model. The record is from RNAcentral.